UGUCACCAGCGAGAUGUUUUCAGGACAUCCAGCGCGCAGACAGAACCAAGCCCGACCCGCAGGAAGGUUUUAGUUCAUCCAUCAGCUCCUGUCAUUCCGACAAGGCGUGACCCGCCUCCUGUCAGGGGAAGCCAGAGACACUGAGAAGUUGUUGGGUUUUCCAUCCAGAGGCAGAGACCGCAUGCGGUGUUCUGCUUCCCAGGCAGACAGAGCAAGCCGGACGGUGCAGAGCUUCUUCCAGCUGGGGAUCCAACAGGAAGGAAGUGGACCUAGAAAUGACAUCCAGUUUGUUCAUCUCCAUCUAUUCACAUCUGGACUGGAAGGACUGACUGGAAAGUCUGCGACCAGCGAUAGCAUUUAGAUCUAGGAGCUGAGGUUUCAGAUCUGUACAUACAAUGUUUCAUAGCUUUUACUUUUAAACUUAACAAAUCUGAAGACGUUUCUCUUUUAGAUCAAUAAUUAGCAUCAUUCGAAUGAUCUUUGAUUGUAAGCAAGUCAGAUGAAAAUGAAAGACAUUUUUAUUUAGAAUAUUUAUAGGUUUUAGUCCCACAGGGGUCAAUACUUGGUCCCACUCUUUUCUCCACUUAUGACAUAGCAAAUCGUGUUGUAGAUUUGUAUAUUCACCUUUAUGCUGAUGACACAGUCCUAAACUCCACUGUCCUGUUAUAGAUUCACUUCAACAUCUGAUUAGUUUUAUGAGAAUCCAUCUGGCCAUUUCAAGUCUGUUUGCUAAGAAAGCAUUUCUAAGAACAAAGUCAUUUGCUUUGGUAAAAAAGGAGAUGCACCAUCAAAUUCUGCAUGUAUCAUCAUGAAUCUGCAUCUUUAAUGUCAGAUAGACAAAAUGUUUUCCUUUCAGAAUUUUUUUUUUUUGAUAAUUUGAAGACUGAGAUCAAAUCAAAGGCAGCGCUCCUCUUUCAUUUCAUCUGCAAUGAAAACUUUGGUGCCACUGCCUGCUCUUCCCAUGUUGGAUUAUUAUGAUGAUGUCAUUUACAGAUCAGCAUCCAAAGAUUUGCUCCAUAAACUGCAUAUUAUUUAGUAUAUCAUUAAUACUAAAAACUCUUUUGGUUUUUCUCUUACCUCUUCUAUGUUUAAUGGUCAAACUGCAAACUUGAUUCUAUUAACAUUUUCCAAAACUUCUUCUGCAUCCAGGUGGUUGUCCUUUCACUUUACUGGAAUGAUCUACAGAGAAAUCCACAAAUUGGACAUCUUCAUAUUUUUUCUGUGUAUUUCUUUCUUCUAAAUGCUGCAAUUUGUUUAUUAUUUUCAUGUUUACAUUGUCUAAAUUGUGUCAUUUUUGCUUUUUCCAGGCUAUAGUUGUAAUAAGACAUUUG
Molecule: long non-coding RNA, 1331 nt
Organism: Xiphophorus maculatus (southern platyfish)
Lineage: Eukaryota; Metazoa; Chordata; Actinopteri; Cyprinodontiformes; Poeciliidae
Exons: 3
Source: RefSeq, a predicted model, not a curated record